GCCCGUAAGUCUCGUUUACUUUCACUUUUGAUUUACCACUUCCGGGUACAUCGGCAGACUUAUUUACCGUUACGCAUAUAGGUAACCCGAAGAACUCGAGGGAUAUAGAAGUUAAAUUUGUUUCGGUCCUCUUCAGAUUUGAAGGAAUGGAUAGCACGUGUCAAAAAAUGCAGAUGUAUAGACAAAGAGGUAUAUGACAAGUAUAGAAUAUACAGUUGUUCAAUAUGGACCAUUAAUCAACUGUUUGCACUGCCUGUGAUCCUGAAAUAUCUAUACAUCAAAGAUAAAAAGGGAAAAGAUGAAGGAGGAUUUGUCCAUGAAGACCUUUAUUGCAACUACAAUCUUCCAGUUCCUUAAUUUGAGAAUGAUAUCAGAGAACACACAGUUACAGUGAAAUAUUAGUUUAAUAUAAGCCACUGAAAAUAGUCAAAUGUACUUUCCUGAAGAAGAUGAAUGACAUCCAGCACAAAAAUCUUAAUGUAUAAAGAGUAUGAUUUAUGGUGUUUGACACUAUGAUCUUGUUAACAUGUUAAUGUCACAAUGAUAGAAACAGAGUAAAAUAUCCACAUUUCAUUGCAGUUUUAAGUAUUAAAACUAGAUACUCUAUAUAUACCAAAGCUGAUAACACACCAGAGAUAAGGUUUUUUCAUGGAAUCACAGUAGAGUCAUGUGACAUUAUGGACAUUAAAUGACUAUGAAGUAAAGAUUAGUAAAAAUAUUAUAUAUCAUCUACUACUAAUAUUGUGAGGUAAUCAUUGAUAAGCUCACAAAUUUGCAAUCAAAGCUUUGAUAUCAAGCUGAACAUUUUUCAAUUAGAAUAUGAUUUAUAACUCUAUGAUAAUUUGUUCAUGUUAAUUUUUAAAGUCUUUACAUUUGUAAAAGGAAAUAUUCUUAUUCUUGUAUCAGUAGGCAUUCACAGUGUAAAGUUACAUUGUCCAAAUAACUAAUAAUAAUUCCAAGUGCUUUCCUGAAGUUUUUCUUCCACUGGAAAAUCAGUGUGAUAUAUAUGCUAAGCAGUGCACUAUAAAUUGUGUAAAAAUAAAAGUUUAUUAAACUUA
Long non-coding RNA from Ruditapes philippinarum (Manila clam), 1058 nucleotides. RefSeq lists it as uncharacterized. NCBI's taxonomy places the organism in Eukaryota, Metazoa, Mollusca, Bivalvia, Venerida, Veneridae. The transcript is spliced from 3 exons. The record is from RefSeq and is a predicted model, not a curated record.